This 465-nucleotide ribosomal RNA is filed under the name uncultured bacterium. RNAcentral's name for it is "partial 16S ribosomal RNA". It matches the Rfam family "Bacterial small subunit ribosomal RNA", at positions 28 to 507 of the family's 1533-position model. The record is from RNAcentral.
GAGGAACGCUGGCGGCGUGCUUAACACAUGCAAGUCGAACGGAAAGGCCCUGCUUGCAGGGUACUCGAGUGGCGAACGGGUGAGUAACACGUGGGUGAUCUGCCCUGCACUUCGGGAUAAGCCUGGGAAACUGGGUCUAAUACCGGAUAGGAGCCAUUUUUAGUGUGAUGGUUGGAAAGUUUUUUCGGUGUAGGAUGAGCUCGCGGCCUAUCAGCUUGUUGGUGGGGUAAUGGCCUACCAAGGCGGCGACGGGUAGCCGGCCUGAGAGGGUGGACGGCCACAUUGGGACUGAGAUACGGCCCAGACUCCUACGGGAGGCAGCAGUGGGGAAUAUUGCACAAUGGGCGCAAGCCUGAUGCAGCGACGCCGCGUGGGGGAUGACGGCCUUCGGGUUGUAAACUCCUUUCGCUAGGGACGAAGCUUUUUGUGACGGUACCUAGAUAAGAAGCACCGGCUAACUACGUG